UACGUAGGGGGCAAGCGUUGUCCGGAUUUAUUGGGCGUAAAGAGCGUGUAGGCGGCCAAGCAGGUCAGCUGUGAAAACUCGAGGCUCAACCUCGAGACGUCGGUUGAAACCGCUUGGCUAGAGUCCGGAAGAGGAGAGUGGAAUUCCCGGUGUAGCGGUGAAAUGCGCAGAUAUCGGGAAGAACACCCGUGGCGAAGGCGGCCCUCUGGGACGGUACUGACGCUGAGACGCGAAAGCGUGGGGAGCGAACAGG
This 253-nucleotide ribosomal RNA is filed under the name uncultured bacterium. RNAcentral describes it as "partial 16S ribosomal RNA". It matches the Rfam family "Bacterial small subunit ribosomal RNA", at positions 524 to 776 of the family's 1533-position model. The record is from RNAcentral.